Molecule: non-coding RNA, 120 nt
Organism: Hortaea werneckii EXF-2000
Lineage: Eukaryota; Fungi; Ascomycota; Dothideomycetes; Mycosphaerellales; Teratosphaeriaceae
Source: Rfam
ACGAACGACCAAAGGUUGCAGAAAAAAGAGGAUCCCGUCCGCUCUCCUGUACUCAAGCUGCAAACCGGCAGAUUAGUAUUAUCGUGGGUGACCAGAUGAGAAUACCUGCUGUUGUUCGUU